AGCUCGGCGGGGCCUGGAGAGCAGCGUUCCCCGCGGCCCAUUGUCUCCACAAACCUUUAUUGACAAAACCUUCGCUUUUGCAGCUUUUCCCUCUCCCUGCGAAUCACCGUCCUCCUCCUCCUCCAAGUCCCAACCACCACCCUCACCGGCUCUUGUGGCUUUAGCUGAAAAUGGUGUUUAGGGUGAGGGUUUUGGCCUCGUGGCCACAGCCACAGCCACAACGGAUCACCAUCUGGGACCUUCACCAUCUGGGACCUACACCGCAGCUUGCAGCAAUGCUAGAUCCUCAACCCACUGAGUGAGGCCAGGGAUUGAACCCGCAACCUCCUGGAGACAAUGCUGGGGACUUAGCCUGCUGAGCCACAGCCGGAGCUCCCAUCUCCUGGUAAUAAAGAAGAAAGGAGAACAGCCAGAACGAAGGCGCCCCAGCCCUUGUGAGCCAAGCAGGAGAAAAUUUUGCUUUUUCAGUUACCAUGGAGACCGGACGUACCCGUUCCCCUGAGCCGUCUGGAAUACUGGACAAAAACGCAUGAAACAACGGUUCCGAUGUCGCCUCCCUCCUUCCCCUCAUCCCAUCCCUGUGCCUCCCUUCACUCCGUGAAGCCUUUGAAGAAUGUCAUCCUGUUCGUCUCGUUAGAACGAAACCUCCUCGAAGCUGGUGGCUGGGUCUUGUUCUGCGUCUCACGCGGCCCGCUUGCAGGCAGCAGAGGGCGCGUGAACACACAAAAGACACAAAAUUGAUGAUAGAUUUAGGAUUGUCCAUUAAAGUUUCAACAGUGUGAAUUUCAC
Molecule: long non-coding RNA, 789 nt
Filed under: Sus scrofa (pig)
Lineage: Eukaryota; Metazoa; Chordata; Mammalia; Artiodactyla; Suidae
Description: lncRNA (ENSSSCG00050044166.1)
Source: RNAcentral